This 397-nucleotide ribosomal RNA is filed under the name uncultured bacterium. RNAcentral describes it as "partial 16S ribosomal RNA". It matches the Rfam family "Bacterial small subunit ribosomal RNA", at positions 523 to 918 of the family's 1533-position model. The record is from RNAcentral.
AUACGUAGGGGGCGAGCGUUGUCCGGAAUGAUUGGGCGUAAAGGGCGCGUAGGCGGCCCGGUAAGUCUGGAGUGAAAGUCCUGCUUUUAAGGUGGGAAUUGCUUUGGAUACUGUCGGGCUUGAGUGCAGGAGAGGUAAGUGGAAUUCCCAGUGUAGCGGUGAAAUGCGUAGAGAUUGGGAGGAACACCAGUGGCGAAGGCGACUUACUGGACUGUAACUGACGCUGAGGCGCGAAAGUGUGGGGAGCAAACAGGAUUAGAUACCCUGGUAGUCCACACUGUAAACGAUGAAUGCUAGGUGUAGGGGGUAUCGACCCCUUCUGUGCCGCAGUUAACACAAUAAGCAUUCCGCCUGGGGAGUACGGCCGCAAGGUUGAAACUCAAAUGAAUUGACGGGG